Molecule: non-coding RNA, 1004 nt
Organism: Xyrichtys novacula (pearly razorfish)
Lineage: Eukaryota; Metazoa; Chordata; Actinopteri; Labriformes; Labridae
Source: the annotation of a GenBank genome assembly
UGCCGACACAAGCAAGAAAACACUCAAACAUAAACAGUCAACAAGAAAACAGUCAACAAGAAAACAGUCAACACCAAACUGGUCAACAUGAAAACGGUCAACACCAAAACAGUCAACAAGAAAACAGUCAGCAAGAAAACAGUCAACAAAAAACAGUCAACAAGAAAACAGUCAACAAAAAACAGUCAACAAGAAAACAGUCAAUAAGAAAACAGUCAACAAGAAAACAGUCAGCAAGAAAACAGUCAGCCAGAAAACAGUCAGCAAGAAAACAGUCAACAAAAAACAGUCAGCAAGAAAACAGUCAGCAAGAAAACAGUCAGCAAGAAAACAGUCAAAAAAGAAAACAGUCAACAAGAAAACAGUCAGCAAGAAAACAGUCAGCAAAUAAACAGUCAGCCAGAAAACAGUCAACCAUAAACAGUCAACAAAAAACAGUCAGCAAGAAAACAGUCAACCAUAAACAGUCAACACCAAACCGGUCAAAAAGAAAACAGUCAACAAGAUAACAGUCAACCACAGUCAACACCAAAACAGUCAGCAAGAAAAUGCUGCUCCCCCGUGUCGUUCAGGAGCCCAAACAAAGUUAGCGUGCUACAAUAUCGGACAGUAGAAACCAACCAGAAAGUUCGGAAAAUUGUCUGAAUCCUCCUUUGGCCACGACUGCCGACACAAGCGAGAAAACAAAGUAAAUACCGGAGACUCUGGAGGAAUAACGGGCGCUUAAAACGGAGGUAGAGCGGACAAGAGCUAAAAAGCCGGGUCAACAUAAACGAUGGGGGACGCUUGGGGAUCUUGGUGACCCUGUAACCUUUCUGCUGGACAGGUAAACCGCUUUAACAAAGUAAGACAAGUGUCUGUAACAGAAGUGUUUCUUGUCAAACGGACCUGCUGUAGCGUGUUGUAGCGCCAUCGCUAAACUGUCCUCCCUCGGGUCCUGGACUAUGUCACUUUAUCCUCGUUGUAGAAGUCCUGCAAACAUUGUGUUUGCUGGUAGUCUGUUG